Molecule: ribosomal RNA, 442 nt
Filed under: uncultured bacterium
Lineage: Bacteria
Description: SSU rRNA
Rfam family: Bacterial small subunit ribosomal RNA
Source: RNAcentral
AGAGCGAACGCUGGCGGCAGGCUUAACACAUGCAAGUCGAGCGCCCCGCAAGGGGGGCGGCAGACGGGUGAGUAACGCGUGGGAACGUACCUUUUGGUUCGGAACAACACAGGGAAACUUGUGCUAAUACCGGAUAAGCCCUUACGGGGAAAGAUUUAUCGCCGAAAGAUCGGCCCGCGUCUGAUUAGCUAGUUGGUGAGGUAACGGCUCACCAAGGCGACGAUCAGUAGCUGGUCUGAGAGGAUGAUCAGCCACAUUGGGACUGAGACACGGCCCAAACUCCUACGGGAGGCAGCAGUGGGGAAUAUUGGACAAUGGGCGCAAGCCUGAUCCAGCCAUGCCGCGUGAGUGAUGAAGGCCCUAGGGUUGUAAAGCUCUUUUAACGGGAAGAUAAUGACGGUACCCGUAGAAUAAGCCCGGCUAACUUCGUGCCAGCAGCCGC